CGAGUUCUAACAUUCUUGCAUGUACUCUUCUCCAUUUCACUUGAACUCAUCACCAUUAUCAUCAACAUCACCAUAUCCACCAAAGAAACCAUCUAGUUUUGCUCGUUCUGAGCAUUUUCAACCCAUUAAUCCAUUAAUCCAUUCAAACAAAAUUUUCAUUUGAAGCUUUUAUAAAAAGUUUCUUUGUAAAUUUCUUUUACACAAAAUUAUGUAAUACAACAAGAAUCUAUUCUAAAAAAACUCUAUAACAAACAGGCCCAACAUCAGUUAUAUCACUGAAAAUGCAACAAUUUUGCUACACAUUUGAAGAAUCAGUUUAAAUCUGCUGCAUGGAGAAAAACAAAUUCCACUGACUCCCAAUAUCCGUGUUACUUCCAAA
Molecule: long non-coding RNA, 379 nt
Filed under: Trifolium pratense (red clover)
Lineage: Eukaryota; Viridiplantae; Streptophyta; Magnoliopsida; Fabales; Fabaceae
Description: long non-coding RNA (TPRA_LNC014220)
Source: RNAcentral